ACAUCGAUGUCUAGGGGCUCUGAGAGGAUUGUCCCCCACACUGGUACUGAGACACGGACCAGACUCCUACGGGAGGCAGCAGUAAGGAAUAUUGGUCAAUGGACGAAAGUCUGAACCAGCCAUGCCGCGUGCAGGAUGACGGCCCUAUGGGUUGUAAACUGCUUUUAUACGGGAAGAAUCCCCUGUACGUGUACAGGGUUGACGGUACCGUACGAAUAAGGAUCGGCUAACUCCGUGCCAGCAGCCGCGGUAAUACGGAGGAUCCAAGCGUUAUCCGGAUUUAUUGGGUUUAAAGGGUGCGUAGGCGGAAUGAUAAGUUAGUGGUGAAAUCCCCCGGCUCAACCGGGGCACUGCCAUUAAAACUGUCAUUCUUGAGUAUAGUUGAAGUGGGCGGAAUGUAUCAUGUAGCGGUGAAAUGCUUAGAUAUGAUACAGAACACCGAUAGCGUAGGCAGCUUGCUAAACUAUAACUGACGCUCAGGCACGAAAGCGUGGGGAGCAAACAGGAUUAGAUACCCUGGUAGUCCACGCCGUAAACGAUGAUCACUCGCUGUUGGCGAUACACAGUCAGCGGCUUAGGGAAACCAUUAAGUGAUCCACCUGGGGAGUACGGUCGCAAGAUUGAAACUCAAAGGAAUUGACGGGGGCCCGCACACCGGAGGAGCAUGUGGUUUAAUUCGAUGAUACGCGAGGAACCUUACCUGGGCUUAAAUGUAAGACGACAGUCCCCGAAAGGGGACUUUCCUUCGGGACGUCCUACAAGGUGCUGCAUGGUUGUCGUCAGCUCGUGCCGUGAGGUGUCGGGUUAAGUCCCAUAACGAGCGCAACCCCUAUCCUUAGUUGCCAUCAGAUAAUGCUGGGGACUCUAAGGAAACUGCCUACGCAAGUAGUGAGGAAGGUGGGGAUGACGUCAAAUCAGCACGGCCCUUAUGUCCAGGGCUACACACGUGCUACAAUGGCCGGUACAGAGGGCAGCUACCUGGUGACAGGAUGCUAAUCUCGAAAACCGGUCUCAGUUCGGAUCGAAGUCUGCAACUCGACUUCGUGAAGUCGGAUUCGCUAGUAAUCGCACAUCAGCCAUGGCGCGGUGAAUACGUUCCCGGGCCUUGUACACACCGCCCGUCAAGCCAUGGAAGCUGGGGGUACCUAAAGUCCGUAACCGCAAGGAGCGGCCUAGGGUAAAACUAGUAACUGGGGCUAAGUCGUAACAAGGUA
This 1214-nucleotide ribosomal RNA is filed under the name metagenome. RNAcentral describes it as "bacterial SSU rRNA". It matches the Rfam family "Bacterial small subunit ribosomal RNA", at positions 273 to 1498 of the family's 1533-position model. The record is from RNAcentral.